Long non-coding RNA from Eucalyptus grandis, 667 nucleotides. RefSeq lists it as uncharacterized. The transcript has 2 exons. The record is from RefSeq and is a predicted model, not a curated record. NCBI's taxonomy places the organism in Eukaryota, Viridiplantae, Streptophyta, Magnoliopsida, Myrtales, Myrtaceae.
CAUGACAUGGGCAAUACACAUCCAACAUGAAAUGCUUGAUUCAUCAAAACAUCCAAGAGAAGUGCAUAGAUGAACCGUAAGGGCUGAAUUCGACGAUUAGCAAUGGAUUACAAUCGAUACGGCGCGUUCUUUUGACUAUAUAUACGCAUCGACGCGGGGUUCUCUGCUCAUCGAUUCGGCAACAAUCUCAGACGCCCUUGUCAAGCAAAAGCCGGCCAACACUGCGAGAUGGAGCAGAAGCACCAGGAGGUUCCAGCUUCAUCUGCCCGUGUCAACCGCAGAGCGAGUGAGAAGGGGAGAGAGAACGAUGAGACAAGAGUAACAAGGAAGAGGUUGGACAUGGAUGCCAAUGCAGACAUAAAUGAGCUGGCAGACGCUUUCAUCAGGAACUUCCGGAACCAGCUAAGGAUUCAGCGCGAGGAAUCGCUCAAACGGUUCCAGGAAAUGAUCUCCAGAGGAGUCUGAAUGAUCACUGUCCUUGUGCUUAUUGGACCGUGAACCCAAUUGAAGAAGGUCAAGUAAUGAAUGUUGAUUGUUGGAUCGUACCAUACUAUAGUUUUCCUCGCUUCUUGUCUUUAAAUGGCUAACCAUGCAAACAACAUUUGAAGUCAUCUCUGUAAGAAUUAUACCUUUGCAAUAAGGACUGUCUCGAUUGUCAUCGAUUGUC